Molecule: long non-coding RNA, 1722 nt
Organism: Poecilia latipinna (sailfin molly)
Lineage: Eukaryota; Metazoa; Chordata; Actinopteri; Cyprinodontiformes; Poeciliidae
Exons: 3
Source: RefSeq, a predicted model, not a curated record
GUAAUGAUUUUUUUCUUUUUCCCCAUUUGCUCUGGAUGUGUUGUUAAAAUGCCUGAAUGGAAGGGAAAGUGACUUUGUUUGCGAGAGAAAGGAUGAGAGAUGUGCUAAAAAGUUAACAUCUCGGAUAUUUCAAACAUAAAUGUUCCGUUAAAUCCUUUUAUGUUUCAAAUAAAGGAGCAACACCAAGAAUAAACGGCUCUGGGUGUUAUUUUUUAAUGGCCACUAGAGGGCGGUAACGCAGCAAAAGAAAGAAAAAUCAACGAAGUGUCUGAAGUUUACUCAGGCAUGAAUAUAUUAAUAUAAGUAUCACUAGUUACACCCAGACUGAUGUUCUCAAGCCUUUAUUUGUGUUACUUAUGAUUUUUCACUUGUAGCCAAACAUAGUUAGCAAAUAGAUUAAUUUCAGUAACUUUUUGGAAAAAUAUGUUUUUAGGAAUAGCUCAGUUUUGCUUCACUUUUUAAUAUUUUGAAGAAUUGCUACUCUCAUUUGAGUCAAAUUUCUAGUUACCCACUGCGAGUAACUUCUCAUGACGAAGAAAAAACACACCAGAAACACACAUUAUGUUACAGAGGGACCUCUUGUUAAUACAUUUAAACAUUAUGUGAAUAUACAGUAAACAUUAUAUUCUGUUCUUCCCGUUUGCAGGAAGUUCUUUAGCCUGUUCUAACAUGCAUGCAAGUAUUGGUUUAAAAGGUUUUAUGAAGAAAUUAAAUUUGUAGUUUUCAAAAUGUUAGUCUUUAAAAUACUAGAAUUUGUACAUUUUUAAAUCAAAUUUGAUCAGUUAUUCAUCACUUGGGUAGUCUACCAAUAAAAAGGCAUAUUAUGGCCAUCUCAGAGAAAAACAAUAAAACAAGGAAAGUUUCAAAAGUAAAAUUUUUUAGAUUGUCAUCAUUAAAGUUGGAAAGUUUUUAUUAAAAAAAGUUGAAAACAUUUGACUUUUGAAAGUCAGAAAUGUUCACAUUUUUUCCUCUCAAAUUUUUUUUUUGAGAUUUUUGGCAGCAAUGUACCACUAUUAUACCUACAGCGGCCCUAAAGGCGCUCCUUACAAAUGACGUCAUUGUUACCCGAACGGCACAAACAGAACGGCGACAUCUGAACAUUGGAAGAUGAGGAUGUCCAGGGAGCUUCUUUUCAAUAUUCGUCGAUACAGAAGCAAAGUGUGAGGAAACUAAAACGGUGGUUGAAAUGCAGAGGACUCAAAGUGAGCGGAAAGAAGGCAGCGCUGGUUUGAAAGAGAGACGGGGAACCAGUCUGAGGAGGUAGAAGAAGAACUUAAAUGUGAAAAUGUGACUAAAACCAUGGAGGUUCUUAAAGCUGACACAACCAACAAGAAUUCUGCAAGUGGUUCCCAUAUGCCUUCCUGGUUCUGAAACAGACAGCCGAGGCGACGAGUGGGUUUGGUCCCGGAGGAGCAAAAGGAACGGAGUGAGUCAUUCUGACAAAGAUCUUUCUGGUGAUUAGAAGAGACGCAGCUGAAGCUCCAAACUGAGCCUCCCAAAAAUAAAAGGAUGUUCCUCACAGUUAGAGGUGUGGACUAAAAACAGCUGGACACGGACAAACGAGGUGAUGUAAUGUUGACACAGGGAUCGUCCCUGAAAUACAGAGACAGAUCCAGUCAGCUGGUCCCAAUGGAACAACUGGGAGACGCCCAGUAGCUGCGUUUCUUUUGACCUUAAAAUUGAGCAAUUUGACAUUUUGAAAAUAAAUUUGCUUAAUGGAAA